UGAAUCUCUGUUUGGACACUC
Molecule: non-coding RNA, 21 nt
Filed under: Caenorhabditis elegans
Lineage: Eukaryota; Metazoa; Nematoda; Chromadorea; Rhabditida; Rhabditidae
Source: RNAcentral